AUUGAGGGAAGCAUUGAAAUGUUGAAGGAGGGUGUAUGGGCCUGCUUUGACUGAGAAAAAGGCUUUGGAGCUAUCAAAGUUUGGGUAUGAGGUGGAGUAGAAGAAAAGGCGAAGGAACUUAGGGCCUGGGGUGACAGGAAAUGAAUAGGUGAACAGGGAGUGAGAGAGACGAGCAUGGUCGUAAGGAGGACCCUGUGGGAUAGAUGGUAUGAGUGGAGGAAGAUCUACUGAGUUAUGGGUUGGAGAGAGGAAUUUGAUGUCUGAAGUCCAAUUCCUCGUAUCAGGGGUGGAGAAGUUGGUGGAAGAGCCACAGCUGAUGCUGAAGAGAUCAGGAGGACGAUAGAUAACAUCUGCUAUGGAAAGGCACGACAACAGAAAGAGGAGGAGGAUGGUGCCUAAAGCAGUUUGUGUGCAGCUUGUGUCCAUGGAUAUGCUAAUGGAACCACCACACAGUACCUAAACAAAGAGCUUAAACGAGAUAAAUCAACAAAUGCAUCUAAAGGGUGGUCCUCGCUAUUUUUGUAGAAGUCAGGGUAGACUUCAAGUCUUCCCAGCUAACAGAGUCUACAUUUGCCUUUUGGUUCUUCUUUUCUAUCUCCUUUUCUUUGGACUGGCUGGGCGAAAAUUUCACGGAAAAAAUAUCUGGAAUAAUUUGUAUUUUUCAUGUCGCAUAAGUUGAAAUUAAAAAGUUAACAUUAAAAUGAUAUCGUAAAUAAACCUUUUUAAAUUAUUAUUUUUUACAUAAACAUUCAAAAAAAUUAUUUUAAUUAUUUUAUGAGUUUAAUUUUGAUAUAUUAUUAAUCUAAAUAUUUUUACAUUAAUAGUUAUUUUAUCUAAUUUAAUAUAUGAAGAGAUAAAAAAAUUCCAAACUGUUUUUGGUGAACACGUUUCUGUAUAAUUCUUUACUCUUACAAUAUUUUAAUAACUUUUCUCAUAUUCGGAUUUGUUUCUUAAUCCAAAUUAUCUGUGCAAAUUUUUGGUAAAUAGACUAGUAGGCAAAGCUUUGGGAAGGAGUCACAACUGAGAGGGGUGUUCUAAAGGCAGCAAAUUUCAUAUCUGAAAUUUCAUAGAUCUUCAGCUAUGCAAACUUUAAUCCUACAAAACAAAUUUGCUUGGGUUCACAUUCCUCCAUAGAAGGGGUCAAGGUGAACUUUAUCAGCUUCAGGAGUACCUGAACAACACGUUACUCGGAUCACCAACAUCAACACCCAGAUUUCAGGGUUCUGUUGUAACUAUGCCCCGGGAGAUGGCAGCAAUGCUUUUAUGCUGCUGAAUUUUUUGGAGAACAACAUCAAUGCUUUUAUUCUAGACGUGGCUCAUGAUACUUCUCUGUUUUUGUUUCCACAGAAAAGAGCUUUAAUUGUAGGGUUGUAGCACGUAAGUGCUUCUUUUAUUCAAUAAAUUCUUUGUUACAGACAAUAAAAAAGCAAAAAUAUUUUUGACACCCUAAUUCACCCUUUAACCUAAUAAAUAUUAAUAUUUUAAUUAUUUAUAAUUUUGAAAAUUAUUUUAAUAUUUUUAUUUUAAUUAUAUUUUUAUUAAAGAAUUUUUUUUAUUUUUUUAAUUAUAAAUAUUAAUAUUUUGUAUUGAUAUAAAGUGAAGCAAGAUAUCAAAAAUAUCAAAAAAAACCAUAAGACACCGGUACCAUCUAAAUCAUCUCGUUGAGCUUGUAACAGUAAUCAACCAACGAAAUUUAACUUAACACUAGUCUACUCUUUGGAACUAAGGGGGAAGACUUGAUUCUUAGCAGGGCCAAGUCUAACCUUUCCUUUUCAUUUUUUUUUUCUUUCUUUCUUUUUAGGACCCAAUUCCGAAUAACAUUUUUUUUUUAGUUUAAAUGAUUAACAUCGGAUUCUUCCUAAAUUUUACAAAUUAAACUUAAUAUAUAUUAAUCUAGUUAAUGAACCAAUCUGAUUCAACAUGUAUAAAUCGAAUUCAAUUCAUUCAUUUACGAAUUAAAUUUUGAGUUGAAGAUCAACUCUUUUAUUUACUUUGAUAAAUCAGCUUAAACGAAAUCGAAUAUAAUAUUAUGAAACAGUUAGAAUUAGUUAAUUCAUUGUUCACUCUAUGCAGAGGGUUCACACGUGCAUUAUUUUUUAUUUCGUGUUAAAACGUAAUCACACUUCAAUAAAAUAAAACAAAAUAAAAUGUAUUAUGUCGGAAGUUGAAAAUAAUAUCUUUACACAGUGAUUGAAAAAUAAUCACACUUAAUUAAAAUAAAAUAAAAAGUAGACAUCUGUUGUUAAAAUAAGAUUGCAUUUAUGUUCCUUAAUUUUGUAUUAAAUAACAUUCAAAUUCUUUUUAAUUUUUAAAUAGAUAUUUAAUUUUUAAUAAAAUAAUAUUCACACUUCUAUAACUUUUAAAUAGAUAUUUGUCGUCAUCGUAUUAACAUUUAGAAUCAUGUGAAUAAAGUGACAUUUUUUUUAUAUAUUUUUUUAUAAAAUAGUCCUAAUUUCUAUAUUUUAAAAUUAUUAUUUUUAAUUUUCAUAGAUUUAGUCGAUACAAUAAAAGAACAAUCACGAAGAAAAAAUAAAAGAACUGCAACCCCAUAUUUUGAAGUUGCAUCUUAUAGGUAGGUGGUGAAAUAAUAAAAUUGUUUUAGAUUCAGAUUUAUAAAAUAUAUUUUAGAAUAUACAUCUGAAAUAUAUUAAUGCAUUUUAUAUUAUAUAAUUUAGAAUGUAUUUUUAAAUAUUAAAAUAUAUUUUAGAAUAUACAAUUUUAAAUAUAUUUAAAAAUAAGUUUAUUAGUCUAGAAUAAAAAGAUGUAUUUUUUAAUUAUAAAAACUAAAAUAAAAAUUGUAUUUUGGAAUAUAUAAUUCAAAAUAUAAAAUAGAUAUUCUGAAAUUUAUACUGAAAAUAACAUAAUAUAUAUUCUAAAAUACAUUUUUCUAUUACAGAAUGUAUUUUAAAAUGUAUAUUUGGAAUAAAUAUUUAUCUUCUGAAAUAGAAAUAUAAUGUAAAUAUGUAUUUUGAAAUGUAUAACUUAAAUUUCAAAAUACAUAUUUUGUAUUUUGAAUUAUUUUUUUACAUUAAUACAUAAAUUUAACUUUUUAAUAAACAACAACAAUCACGCCACCAAACAUCACACAUCCACUAAGCACCCACAGCCAUCACUAACACAAUCUUCACAUUAUAUCCAAACACUCCAACAAAAACACCCUAAUUUCCCACAACUGACAAUUUAUUUUGAAAAGAAUAAACUUGGAAUUUCCAACUUUUUAGGAGUGCAGCUUCAAAAUAUGGAGGUGCAAAAUACAAUUGCAAAAGAGGGCCAAUAUCAGCCCGGCCCAUACAACAUAAAAUAGACCGCAAAAUCAGCCCAUAAUUAACCCAACUAUGGGUAAAUGAACAAAGCUAACAUUUAAAGGUAGAAUGAGUAGAGAUGAGAGCUGUUUACACCGAGGUAAAUGAGUAAACUAAUAAUGAAACAGUUAAAAAAGAAUAUCUCCCUUUAUAACAAUGAAACACAGAAGUAGGAAUUUUGCCUUGAAGGAGGAAACCUCCUUAACCACUCCAACCUUAUUAGGAUUUCUUAUUGAGGUUUUUGCUUUCUUUAAAUUUUAAACUUGUAGAGUUAGGGUUAUGAUUGGAAAGUACUAUUAACACAUCUGUCUUUUUAUCCCUCUUGUAGUAAGAUAAAUAGUUAAACAUUUUAAUAAUUUUUUAAUUUUUUUAUCUAUUUUAAUAAUUAAUUUAUAAAAUUAUUCUAGUAAAAAAUCGACUGAGACACCUAUACAGAAAAUUGUGAUUAAAAUAUGAUUAAGGUAGAUAAAACUAAGAACAAAAUUGAUGAGUUUGACGAAAAAAGGAAAAGAGAAGCAUUGACCAGACACAUGGCAUAAUGGGUUGGUGCACUAUGAAGUUCGGACUCUUAUUUUUAAAUGGUGUAUUCGUGUCGGACACACAUAUCCAUGUUGACACUCGUAGGAUACUUAUUGGUGAAGUGUUCAAUUCAAAAAAAAAUAUUUGUUGAAUUUUUAAAAAUUCUAGCACGGUUCUAACACAAUUUUAAAAGGUAUAAAUACAAUAACUUUCUAAAAACUCAAAUUUAUUGUAUAAAUUUUUAUUAUAAUUAUAAAAAUAAGAACAAACUCUUUUGAACCAAUCAUAAAAAAUAUCUUCCUGCUCCCAAAAGAAUCUAGAACAUAUUUUUGCAUAUAAAUAUUUAUUUUCAAUUUAUAUAAUUCAAAAUUAUAUAAUAUAUAGAUUUGUGUUCCAUAUCUUAUAUUUUAAAAAUUAUACGUAUAUCUGUACAACCGUACUACAUAGUUAGUCAUGAAAAACUUUUGAAAAACUUUGUCCUGUCCAGACAAAAAAAAUCUUUCUGUUCAUCCUUAUCGUUAAAGACAAGGUUGUUGGUGCCGUGCUUCUGACACACCACAUUUUACGAAAAUGACCCUAUAUUGAAAAUGAUAUCUUAAAAAAUAUUUUUGAAUAAUAACAUUUAAUAAAUACAUUAAUUUGAUUCUAAGAAUUAUUUUGUUAUUUUUAAAUUAAUGAUAUCAGGACACUAAUUUUUUAGAAUGUUUUAAAAAUAUUUGACUUAAAUAAUUAUAUGUCUAUUCAAGAUUAAUAAUGUAAUUAUCAAGACAAAAUAAUAUGUUUAUUAAAUGUUGAGUAUCAAAACAUAUUCUGGAGAUGACAAUUUCAAUGGUUAAUUUCAUAAAAAAAAUAUUCAAUCCUACUAUGAAUAGUUUAAAACAAAGUAAUUAUUCAUGGUCAAUCAAUAAUAAAUCAUUUUUAAAAUACAUUUUUAUAUAAUGUUAUAAGAACCACUAAAAUUUUCAUAAAUAUAAAUUUAUUUACAUUAUUAGUAUAUCACUAUUUAUUAAGCAGAAAGUUUAUUAUUUAUUAUUAUUAUUAAUAUUUCUAUAAUGAUUUCUAUAAGUCAUAUAACUUUUCUUACCUUGAAUAGUUAAUUUUAUAUAUAUUUUUUUAAUACCUUAAAUUUAGUAAACAAUCAAAUUGACGAAAUAUUUCUUCAAAUAAAUAGAAUUUUUAAUUUCUAAAAUUUUAAUAAAUUAUAAUUUAUUUUUUUAUACACUAUAUUAAUAAAUAUGAGAUAUAUUAGUUUUAUAAAUUAGCUUCACAUCUAUUUGAAUUUUUUUACUACAAAAACAUUUAUUAUUAAUAAUAAGUUAUUUAACUUUAAUUUCUUCUUGUAAUCUCAUUUAUUAAUUAUAUUACCUAAUGAUAGUCAAACCAAUACCAUUAUUAUGGAAUAAAAACUUUUGCCAAAAGAGUUUGGUAAAUGAAUUUCAAACCAAAAGAAUUGUGCAUUAAUGUCUUAACAUAUAUUUUUCUUUUUGGGCGUUUUUAACAAAUUGCCUUUAACCAAAAGUUAUGUUCAUUCAAAUUUUAAGUGAAAAAAAAGUAUUAAAUGAUCAAAAUGAAUGAAAAGAAAAUAUUCAUUUGGUGUGAUAAUAUUAAAUGCCAAGGUGUGGACUACAUAUUCAUGAUUUUUGGUAAAUUUUAAUUAAAUAAUAAUAGAAAUGUGUUAAGUGAAUGUAUUAUGGAAAUAUUAUUUUUUUUUUUUGUAAAUUUUAAGUAUUUUUUUAGAAAAAGAAUUCAAAAGGAAUUUUAUUUUUCUUAUUUAAACCUCGAAAUUCAAAAUUUGAAAUGAAAAAUAAUUCAAAUCCAAAAUAAUUUUCUGUAAUCAUCAAAUUUUAAAAAUACAUUUUCCCCAAAUAUUGCAUUCUUGCAACGUUUUCUCCCCAAAAGGUGGCGGUUCACUUGGUUACAUUCGGUUUCCUUUUCAUCACUUUUCUGUUGAAGGGCUUUGCUUCAGCGGCUCCGGUGUGAACGAAGAAAACAAAGGUACGUUAUUCUGAAAAUAUUCAUCUGGGUUUUGCAAAUUUUCUCUCGAAAACAGUGUAUUUGCGGAAAAAAUUGAUCUUGGCGCAAGCAUGCUUUGAUAUUUGUUUCUGCUGCUCUUUCUUAGAUUGGUUUAUUUCGGUGUGUGUUUUGCUAGUUCUACUACAUUCUGAAACUUGAAGAAUCGGCUUAAGGUGAUGCUUUAGUUAGAAUAUAAGUGUGAAUUUCUUCUGUGUAUUUUGUGUUUGCAUGAAAUGGAUAAUCAGUUAUGCAUCAUCCCACUUUUUUUUGUUUUGGAUGAAUAUUAUUGCACUUUAAUAUCCUCACGCAUAGAUUAUAAAGGCUGGGCAUCUGCUGGUCUCUGGUGGUGUAGCACUGGAUGGGAUGUAGACAGUUUAGUUUAUUAGAAUGGUUAGGAGAGUGCAGGGGAUGGCAGUAGAGUGUGAAGAUGGUAGAAAGUAGUAAUGUUAGUAGUGUAGGUUAUGCUAAGGUCAAUUUGUCGUUUUGCAGGUGUAGGAGUGGGGCUAGGGUGUACAAUUCCUUGGUAGCAUGAAUCUGUCUUGGCUUAUUCCAGUACCUAUUCUAAUUAGGAUGAGCUUGGUUAGUGCAGCAGAUGGCGUAAUCCAUCUAGCAGUAUUUUGUCAUAAGGAUGGGCAGUAGUGAAUCAUCUGUUAUCAUCUGUUGGGGUCUAAUGUUAGCCUGCCAAGAGUGGAAACAAGUGAUGGGUGGACCGGAUAGACCAAAACAGGACUUUUUUCUAUGGAAGUUUCUGAUGUAGGGUGGAAUUUAUCAAUGUUAUAAACACAGUCUGAGCAGAAUGGAAUGAGCAGGUCUGAUGGAUGGAGUGCGGCGUAGCUUAUGUGAAUUGUAAAACAAACAACCACUCACUUGAAUUUUCUCCAAAGAAACAGUCUUCUUUGUAUUUCUCUCUAUUGUAUUUCUGUGGUGCAUCUUACAACUUAGAGAGCAUUCUAUUUAUAGGCUUUAGCUCUACUAGAAAAAUCUUCAUUAUGGUCUUAAAACCUCACUAACAACAUUAUUAAAAUCCCACUCACAACUGUGUAUUGACUGAUGGUCAGGAAGCAGAGUAGCUGUUGAGGAAACUGUGUAUUGACUCAUGUGCUUUUUGAAUGAUGAUUAAAUUGUGUACAGGACCAUAGACAAAGGUGUGUAUAGGAUGUUAGGCAGAGGAAGUAGACAAACGCCAGCGCCUAGGCCUAGGAUUCUGGAUACGGAAACCGAAGUGGGGCAACCAUGGACGCUGCUGGACUGGGAAGGGAAAGUAAAGGAGCUAGAGGUCCGGUAUGAUGCCAUCAAUAGGCACAUCGGCCUCUCCGCCAAUGACCUCGAUAAUUCCUUCUCUAGCCGUUCCAUCAUUCUCAGCUUGAGGGAGGCUUCAGUUUCAAUUGGGAGGACAUCAAGGUUGUCAUCACUUACUCAGCAGUCCUCCUCAACACAGGUGACCCCUCCAUCAGCCCUUUGGUCCAUGAGCUGCAAGCCUGGAUCCUCCGGACAUUCACUUUUUCCGACGCGGACCCUGUCCACCCGGGAUCCUCUUCUUCUGACUCCAACCCGACAUUUUGCCCCCCUCGAGUUCACAAUCCUCAAGUUUUUCCUUAAAACAAUAUGUAGCAAAUUCGAUGACGAGGUCCUUCCCUCUUCUCUUCUUUUUCAUUUAUUGUCAAUUCCCCUCUCUACUCUACACUUCUCAUCCUCUGCCAAUUCACAGGUAAAGACUAUUGAGGAGGAGGCUCAUUCCCUCCUGGAUCAGAGCAUUUUUCAGAGGUGUACUCUUGGUAUCUGUGAUCCCAAAAUGGAAGUCAUUGAAAAAAUCAAAUACCAAUUACGCAACCUAACUGCCCGUAUUCAGAAGGUUAGUUUUGGAUUUAAGAUUUUGUUUAGGGUUCAAGUUUUCUUUGAUGUGAAUGCAUGCAUGUGUGGUUCGAUAUAUGUCCAGAUGAGUGAUGAAUUGGAGCAGUUGAAGGAUGAUGAUAAUCGUAAGACUAUGAUGUGUUUAACAGAAAUGUUAGAGCAACAAAUCUCUCCCGCAGAUAGGUAUUCACUUUUUUUUUUUACUUUUUACCUCUUUAAACUCUCUUUCAUCCUCUAACUGUAAAUUUUCUACCAGUUUUAGGACAGCGCCGCAGGACAUAGACUUAGGUGAACCCUCUGACAUUGAAAUACUUUUAGACAACUACUUGAGGAAGAACAUUGAGACAUCGAAGAAGGUCUCUAUGGUAUACACACCUAUGAUCUUUGAAUAUUUCUGAUCCAAUAUAGUUAUCUUAUGUAAUAAUUUUAAUUUGUAUGUUUUUUUGUCUUGAUAAAGGUGAGCAGAUAUGUUGAUGAGAGUCAGUCCCUCAUCAAAGACAAGGAAGAUCGCCGAAACAGCAAUAUCAUCAAGAUGACCCUCGUAGUGAGCAUAGGAAGCUUGGGAUUGAGUUUGUUCAGGUACUUUCACUCAAAAUGAUGUAUGAUGUUUCGGUUUUCUUGCUUUUUCUUUUCCUUAUGGAAAAACUUUAAGAAACAGUAUGUUAGUAAGAUGAACUUGUGUUUAUUUCAUUCUUCUGUGGUUUUCGCAUGCAUAUUAAAUUCAACCAUUUCUUAUAGUAAGCAAGUGAUUUUUUUUUGCUGAAGUGAGUGAAAAGAACUUGAACCUUAUCCUAGACAAACUUAAAAAAAAAAAAACUGCUUACUAAUAAAAUACAAAGCUAUUAAGACAAACUUUUGGCAUAUCACUAAUAAACACAAAAUAAAAGACCUUUCUCGGUAGCAGGAUGUUGAAGAACCAAUUCAUUGUCGUAAAACUGUAUCAGGGGUAUCACAUAAUGGGUUCUGGCAAUCCCCAGCUGUUCUGUUGUUCUCCAAUAUUUUUUCUGCACUAAUCAACUUCACAUCUUUUAUGGUCCUUGGGCCAUUCUCCUUGUCUUCAAAACAAAAACACAAACUUACAAAUCUCAUAUAUCACAAAACACAUGGCAAAAAUUUAGCAUGAAGCUCACAAUAUGACAAACAUCAGAAUUCACCACAGAAUCUAAUUAAAAGAUAUCAGUUUUAAUCUUGUUUGAUGGGGUGAUACUCCUUGGUGAUGAACAAAAAAAGGGACUUAUACCAAGAGUUCCCAUUUUUAAUUUAAAAGGCUGUUAUACAGGUCUUACCACCUUAUAUACUUUCUUUUACAGUAUAAACUCCCAAAAGGGCCUUCAUAUGAAAAAAAAAUGUCGUUUUGUUAAUAUAAUUUAAGUCUUCUCAAGGAAUUGACCAACAUUGACACAUUAAACAUAAUUAUGCACAUAUGCUGGACAGCAUAUCUUUGACCAAUAUUAAACGUAACUGUAAUACAUUAAAUGGAAAAUAUUUUUAUUCGUAUAAGUUUAUUUUUUUAUCUCAUCAAAAGAAUGAAAUAAUUCCAAUUGUUCUUCAUCAUCAUGUUUUCCAAUCCACCCAAACCAGCAGUCUCUUAAUUCAUAGCACAAAGUUCCUUAGUAGCACCAGAAUAAUACUACGUCUUCUCAGUUCUCACAUGGUAAUUUAGUGAUUAAACCAGAAGACCAAAAAGAGAAGUAAAAAGAAAAGGUUGAGUUAGAACCCUCUCACGCACGCAUCCAUACUCACUUAACAUGCAGAAUCUGGCAUGGGAAUCUAGAUAUAUCCAGAACAAAGAAAUUAUUCUCAACAUCAUUACCAUUCUAACCAGAGGUAUCCCAAUCAGUUAAAAAGUCUACUACAAUUUUUUUUUUUAAAAAAACAAAAAAAAUCUUCAAUUUUGGAAUUUGAACUUCUGCUCAAGUGACAUUUAUAUAAUUCUUUUUCUUAAAGCAAUAAAAAAACAUGUCAAAGUGCAAGUAAAAUGUCCUCAAACUUGACAAAACUAUUUCUCCUAAUAGAGCUUGAGAACGGUAUAUAUUAAUAUAUUAAUAUAAAUAUAUUGAUUUUUUUUUUCUAGUUCCUCUGUAACUAUAAAUAGUAGAUAGGGAAAACAAGUGAGGAGUAAAUUCUUAUUUGUUUUUUUUUUUUUUGAUCAGCAACUUAUUUGGUGUUAAAAGAAAAGUAGAUGAUAUGAUAUAAAUAAACUUGUUUCCAAACAUAAACGUAAGAAAAGAACAAAAAAGAUAUAGCAUGCCAUUAAGAAUAUAUCAAGCAGGUAUGGAUAACGCAGAGGAGAAGUAGACCAGCGGCCUUCAAACUUUUCACAGGUGCUCAUCCCUUUGUUAUGUCAAGCUUUUUGGACUCUUUACAAUCACAAUGUGAUCAUAAUUGUGGCUGCAUUGUGUUUGCAAAUUUCUACAAUGACUAUAAUUGCAGCAAAAUUGUGACUGAAUUCAAUCAUAUGUUCUAGCUUGUGGGUUGCUGUUUUAGUUUUAUGGGUUAUAGGGAGUCAGGGCUUUCUUCAUCAGAAGAACGGUUUUGGUUUGGCCUUACUGGGAUUAAUUAAGUUAUUGAAGCUUAAGAGUUUAUUUGUUUUUGUUGGGAAGAAAGCUUUAGUUGCUAUAGUUUUUAGGUGAUUGCUGUGCCAUUGGAUGGACUUCCUUUGUUGGAUAAGAAGACAUAGGAUAAUGUAUGAAUUGGUAGAAAAAAUUGAGAAGUGAGAUUUCCCAAAAAGAUUUAAAAUUAUAUUAAAGUCCAGGUUCGUCUUGGAUGGUACUGUCAAGAUCUUUCAUUGAUUACUGUAUAUGGGGAUGGGACAACCUACCUCGUACUGUUCUCAUGUACUACACAAAUUUCGUAUCUUCCCCUGAAGAGUACUUCCACACUGUCAUUUGUAAUGCUCAAGAGUUCAAGAACACAACUGUUAAUAGUGAUCUUCACUUCAUUUCUUGGGACAAUCCUCCCAGGCAACAUCCCCACUACCUUUCUGUCGAUGACAUGAGCAGAAUGGUUGACAGCAACGCCCCCUUCGCGAGGAAGUUCCACGGAGAUGAUCCAGUAUUGGACAAAAUCGAUCCAGAGUUAUUGUCUAGACGUCCUGUGAUGGUUGUUCCUGGUGGCUGGUGCAUAGGAAGCAGGGAGAAUGGGAGCGAUCCUUGUUCUGUAGUUGGUAAUGCUACUGUCCUUCCUUAGGCCUGGCCCAGGUUCUGAAAGGCUUCAAACUUUGAUCAAUUCAAUGAUGUCUGAUGAAAAUUUUCGACCAAAACAGUGUGCAUGACAAAAACCUACUGCCAACAGCAGUGAUUUCUAGAGAUUAUGUCGCUUGCCACUUGCUUCAGUUUUUCUUCUUCUCUAUAUUUAGUUAACCUGAUCGAUGAAUUCAUGUACCUUUUCAGUAGGAAAUGUAAAUAUUGCGAGUGUAAAGCACAAACUCGAUUUUUUUAUAUAUUGACAAAAAUUGAGGCUAUCUGGUGGCAUGAUAUUGACAGCAGAGCUGGAUCAUAUUCUGCAAUUUUGUGACAUUUCUUUUUAACUACGGUUAAGAGAUAAUGGAAACUUCCAACUAGGGUUAGAGAUAAUGGAAGAAUGUUGAAACAAGAAAGACCUUCAUGAGUGGGAAAUAUCUAUUAGUGCACUCUAAUCUUCCUCUUUGUGCCCAUAUACUAUAUAACGCACCAUAAUGUAUCUUUAGAGUCUCUAACCAAUCAAAUGUGGGUGGAUGUGGAAAUUUUGUGAUGUCUUCUGUUUACUUUUUACACAUAAAUUAAUACUUAAUAAUAUGACUGCUUAUUGGCUUGUUGAUUCACCAGAGGGAUAAAUAUAAAGUAGUAUUUUAUCUAUUAUUUUUUAAUUCAGACAUUGUCAUUUUAUAGUUUUAGAUAAAUUUAAAUUAUUAAUUAAAAUAGAUCAGCCUAUGAGAAAUUAAGUUUCAUAAUAAUAUCUAUAUGAAAGUUUUUAUAAAAAAAAUUUAAUUAAAAUAGGUUCAGAUUUUCAAAUAAAGUGUGUCAACAUUUUAACAUUUUUAGAGGAUAAAUUAUUAUUAGUUGUGUAAAUACUCUUUGCACUUCGAAGUCUACCUUAAUUUUAACGAGUUCUAGAAAUUUUAACACAGCUAAAGUUGUUUUUUUAAUGAAAAAAGGAAAGGCAAAGGGAAAGGAAAAGGAAAAGGAUCAUAAAUAUAUUAUUAAGCUUUUAUCCAUCUUCUAUCAAUGCUAGAAUAGAAAAUUAUAUAUUGAUGAUAAAUAAUUCCAUGAAUUCGUGACUUGCUUUGCUCUUCAACUCACCAUAAAAUAAACCUAUUUUUAUUCUUUUUAAUAAAAUGAAUUUUUAACCUUUAUAAAAUUUAACUAUAUACGUUGUCCUUCGAUUUUUUUUUAUAAAUUAAAUCAUUCCAGUCUCCUAGUAAAUAUCAGUAAAAAGCAACACAAAUAGGGAGUUGAAUUGAGUAAUUAAAAAAACUACACUUUAAUUUUUUUCCCUUUCUUUUAACAACGUAUGAGACCUCUAUCUAACAUGCACUUUUUAAUUUAUGAAAAUUUAUAAUCUAUAUUAACAGAAAUGACUGUAGUUUAAGUUGUUAUGAGUAAUAAUUAACAAUAAUUUAUAGUGAAAACGUUUGAAAGUGAUUAUUUUAAAGCUUAAUACUUGGAAUAAAGAGAAACAUUUUGUUUGAAAUUCAAUUUUUAAAACAACUUUUUCGAUACAUAAAAUUUAUAUGCAUCAUUAAUAAUUUUUAAAGAUUUUCUCAUCAUUUCAUAAUAAAAAAUACGCAUAUUAACAAAGAUAGGGAUAAGAAAAAAAAUUUAAUAUUAUAUAAAACUAUAUAAUAUUUUAUAAAAGCAUCAUUGAUUUGUAACUUGCAGAGUUUCGUAAAUAAAAGCAUUGCUACACCUAAUUAUAGUGAUAAAUUAUUAAAAAAUAUUAUUAAAUAAAAAUAAAUAAAAUAUUUAAAAUGAAUAAAAUCAUUUUCUAAUGAAAUUCUUUCUGCCAAACCAACAUAGACGGUAAGACUUGAAAUGUCCCACUUGCUUAGAAAAAGUACACACGAAAUGUCCAGCGCUAGUAGUUUGAGAAAUCUUGAUAUAUUCAUUGCUUGAUUUAUGGUGUUUGAGUUGAGCUCUCUUUGUUUAGAGAUUAUCGAUGGAAACUACUUGCAGGCAAAGUGCUUCAGGAACCAUUCUUCUUCUCUUGCAGUUAUGGUGCUUCUCUUUCAUUUCCAUAGCAGAAGAUAUUUAUGAUCCCACUGAGCUCUUCAGCAUCAGCUGCGGCUCAUCCACCAACUUCUCCACUCUCGACACUCGGAAUUGGACUGCAGACAUCCACUUCCUCUCUCCAACCACCCAUCUCUCCGUUGCUGCUCCUUCACUCACACCAUCUACCCAACAGGGACCUUACACCUAUGCUCGUCUUUCUCACUCCCCGUUCACUUACUCAUUCCCUCUCACACCAGGCCCCAAGUUCAUUCGUCUCUUCUUCUACUCAACUUCAUACCAAAACUUCAACCGCUCCCAAGCCUGUUUCUCAGUCAAAGCAGGCCCCUAUACCCUCCUUCAAGGUUUCAAUGCCUCCCUCAACGCCGAUGCUGAUGAUGACCCUAGCCACUCUGAUAUCUUGUUCAGAGAGUAUUGCAUUAACCUCCAAGACGCUGAGAACCUCAACAUAAUCUUCAUUCCUAACACCACAGAUUCCUACGCUUUCAUCAACGGGAUCGAGAUUGUUUCGAUGCCCCCUUCUCUCUACUACACCGAUCCUGAUGAAGACUACACGGAGCAGCCUCAAUAUGUUGGCACCACGACCCCGUAUGUGAUUGAGAACAAGUUUGCUCUCGAGACCAUGUACAGGUUAAAAGCUGGUGACCAUACAAUCUCCUCCUCUGGGGACACUGGUAUGCUCAGGACUUGGGAUGCCGAUAGCAAGUACCUAGUUACUCAAAGUGAAGAAUCUAUUGAGUAUAAGGCUACAACUAAUCUGAGCUUCACUAAGAAGACUCCUAACUACACGGCACCAGACCAAGUGUUCCGAUCUGUAAGGAAUAUGGGAAUGAAUGACUCUAACAACAUCAAGAACAACAUCACUUGGCACUUUACCGUUGAUUCCGGAUUCACCUACUUCCUAAGGUUAUACUUUUGUGAGCUUAACCCCAGAUUUAACGAGGCUGGUUUCCUGAUAUUCUCCAUCUUCAUACAAGACCAGUUGGCUACCGAUUGGGCAGACGUUUUCUUGUGGACCAAAAACUGGGGUGUGCCCGUGGUUAGAGAGUAUGUAGUUAUCAUCUCAGAGAAUCAGAAAAAAGUUAACCUUUCACUUAAAAUGCAUCCUAACCCUAAAAGCAGGGUCUCGGACACACAAAUAAAUGCAAUUGAAAUCUUCAAAAUCAGCAAUUAUAAAGGUAGUCUUGCGGGACCAAAUCCCGACCCUCCUACACAACCCGCAGUGGUUACUCAUCAAGACUCAAACAAGAAAAUUGGAGUCUCCAAGAAAACUCUUCCCGCCGUGAUGGGGGCAGUUUUCGGCGUCCUUUUGCUCACUUUAUUUAUUGUCGCUUUCUUCCUCGUCAAACGCAAGAAGAACAUCGCCGUUGAAAGUAAAAAGCACGGAACUACUCGCGAGGGUGGCUCAUCAUCGCUUCCAAGCAACCUUUGUCGUCACUUCUCAAUCUCAGAAAUCAUAGCCGCCACCAAUAACUUCGACGAACUCAACGUCCUUGGAGUGGGAGGCUUUGGCAACGUGUACAAAGGUUACAUCGACGAUUCAACACCUGUGGCAAUCAAAAGGCUCAAACCGGAUUCUCAGCAAGGUCUGAAAGAGUUCAUGAACGAGAUCGAAAUGCUCUCUCAACUUCGUCAUCUCCAUCUUGUUUCUCUCAUCGGUUACUGCUACGAGAGCAACGAGAUGAUCCUCGUUUACAAUUUCAUGGAUCGUGGAACCCUUCGUGGCCAUCUCUACGACACUGAUAACCCUUUGCUUUCAUGGAAGCAAAGGCUUCAGAUAUGCAUCGGGGCCGCACGAGGACUGCAUUAUCUGCAUACAGGUGCGAAACAGAUGAUCAUUCACCGUGACGUGAAGAGCACAAACAUCUUGUUGGAUGAAAAAUGGGUGGCGAAAGUUUCAGACUUCGGGUUAUCUCGAAUUGGGCCCACGGGUUCUUCAAUGACCCAUGUGAGCACUCAGGUGAAAGGCAGUAUUGGGUAUUUGGAUCCGGAGUAUUACAAACGACAGCGUUUGACGGAGAAGUCGGACGUUUACUCGUAUGGAGUGGUGCUCUUAGAGGUAUUGUGUGGGAGGCAGCCUUUGCUCCGAACGGUGGAGAAGCCACAGGUGUCACUUGUGGAUUGGGCGAAGCAUCGGUAUGAGAAGGGGUGUCUGGGUGAGAUUGUGGAUCCAGCACUGAAGGGGCAGAUAGCACCUCAGUGUUUGCGCAAAUUUGGUGAGGUUGCAUUGAGCUGUUUGGUUGAGGAUGGGACUCAGAGACCAUCCAUGAAUGAUGUGGUUGGGAUGUUGGAGUUUGUUCUGCAGCUUCAGCUUCAGGAUAGUGCUGAUGGUAAUGUAGUGUGGGAGAGUAGUGGGGAUUAUGAAGGCAGAACAACUAAAGACAUGUUUAGCAGUUCCCAUAGUAAUAGCAGUGGAUUGAACACUAAAAGCUACGGGAACGAGGAAUCUGACCAGUUGAUCCCUCAGAAUGUUUUUUCUGAGCUUGAGGAUCCAAAGGGACGCUGAUCGGAGUUAGUGUGCUCAUGUUAAAGAACUAGACAUCCCGCUAAGGUUCAUGGUUGUUGGUUAUGGUUAUUGUAUAAAAAAUUGGGUUGUAAAUUCAUCAUUAUCUUCUUUCUAUUGGAAAAAUGAUGUUUUUCAUAAUCUUUGAAAUUCUAUACAACUCUCUAUAAAAUUUUUGAAACAUUUUACAUCUUGCUUGUGUAUUUUCAUUAAGGAGGUUUUUGUAGGGUUCAAUCAUGCUUUCAGCUUGGUAGAAAUGUUUAGUGUAUCCCUUACACAUCCACUGUUUUUUUUUAUCACCAAAGCUCACACAUCCACUGCAAUGUCUGAACAACUAAAUACAUAAUAACUCCGAGUAAAGUAAGUUACUGAUAAAUCUAAGGUUUAAGCUCCAUCUAAUACCAAGUCACCGAAUGAUAAGCAUUCCUUUAAGUGAAUAUUAUCUUAAUUAUAGAACAUCUUUUGAUAGAUCUAGUAAAAUUAGUGAAAAUGAUAAUUUUAUUAUCAAAAUUUCAGAAAAUAAAUCAUUGAAUUAUGAAACUCGUUUUUCUCGUAUCUUACACCUCUUAUUUCUGAAAAUAUUUUUCAAUACUAAUUAUCUAAUAAACACUAAGAAUGAGGGUUAUGUUGAGAAGGAUACUUGAAAUCACUUUAUUUUUAAGAAGAACAUAAACCAAUAUUACCCUUUUGUGUACGUUGAUUGUUGUUUCAAGUUAUGACUAAAAAAGAUAGAAAUUAGUAUUUGCACCACACACCAGUACACAAUUAUGCAACUAUUAUACAUCAAAUCUGCACAGCAUUAGUAUAAAGUAAAGAUCACCGAAUAUAGUUUUGAUGAUACUGAUUUUAUAACUACGAAGUGUAAAAAAAGGGUAGACGUAUAUUGGGCAUGAAUUUGAGAGAGGUAUAGGAACUUUAAGAUCAUAUAUUUCUAUGAAUUGUAGCAAUGUAUCAAUAGAGGAAAAAAAAAGGACCAUGGAUCGAUUUUUGCUCCACUGCAUUCGAUACAAGCACUAUCUAUUCCAUUAUGUUAAAGGAAGACUCUUUUUAUAAAAGAAAUGCUGCAUAUAUAUAGUGUGACCUUGGAGGAGGAAAUUAGACCGAACGUGUCGUUAUCACUUCAGCUAUAUUGCAAUUACAUGUAGCCCACAAACUACAUAGUCAAAAAGGGAAACAAUUAAGCAUUUGAAAAAACGAGAUAAUUUCCAACUAAAGAUGCAGUGAUAAGGUUUAUAGAUAGUGGUGCUUCAUUCAUGUUGGGAUAUAUCUAUAUUUUGUUGUUGUUGCUGCAGAGGAACCGAAAUGAAAAGAGCACGCAUUUGUGGUGUGAUGUUGGUGAUGAUUUUGGUCCACGCACAUGUCAGUAUUUCAGAUCCGGCGAAGACCAACGACACCACUUCUGUUUGCGAUGGCUCCCUACAGGAGUGCUCCGAGUUCCCCACCCUCACCACCUCUCACUUCGCCAGAAUGCUUGCUCAAACCGACACUAAGACCAUUAAUACACUCAAACCUGGAGCCUCCUGUCCCGUCCGAAAUGACAAGUAUUAUAAGGAUUGUUUUCCUCCUAACAAACCAGAACCUGUUAGAGAAUGUCGUAGUAUCUACUACAGAAAAUGCUGAAUAGCUUCCAAAUUUGGUGUGAAGCUGUUUUGUGUUUUGCUUCUUCCAUUUCCGUAGUUCUUCUAUAUAUGUAUCUGCAGUUACUGGGCACGCAUCACUUUCCCCAGAAAUGAAAUAUUUUGGUGAAGGGACUGUCACAGAUGUCUGCUUUUCUUGUUUCAGCUUCAACUAAUGAAGUUUCUAGCUAUAUAUUGUCUUGCAGAAUAAUGGAUGAUAGUUAUAUAUAUUGUCCUUUCAGCCCGCUGACUUUGAAAGUUCGUAUUCAUUCCUCACGAUACUAUGAUCUAGUUACUUGUUUUUAGUAAACCAGCAAUGGUCUCUACUUAACUUAAAGAUUCAUGCUCCAUGAUGAAAGUUCUAACUUUAUGCAAUUAGUGACUUUUACUUUUUUUUCUUUUUAGAAAUUAAGAAAUGUAUUUAAAAGAUUAUCCUAUAAAACAAUCAUAAGAUUUUUAUUUGUUUUUUUAUUUUUGCAUCACGAUACAUAUAUAAAUUAAUGAAAAAUAGACGUUGAAAUAAGAAAAUAAUUCAUGUUAUUUUAAAUUUGAAAAAUUAAGUCUAGGGUUUUCUGAUGAUAUCUAUAAACAUCUUGAGUGCACUUUACAUUUAUUUUUUUGUAUUGCGUGACUCACUUGAUGAGAUGAAAGAAAAGGGAAUAGAGUGUGUUUAAAAUUUCAAACUCUUUGGUUUAUGAGACAAAAGGAGAGAAAAGCUAACGUAUUAAUGAUAUUACUAUUUUACUCUUAAUUUCCUAAUUUCUCUCUAUUAAAAUAUGUGAUAUAUUAAAUUAUAUCAACGUAAUAUAAUUUGAUUACCUUAUAUAAAUGUUAAGUUUAACGUAACAUAAUUUUCUAUAUAAUAUAAUCUAAUAAAAUUAAAAAAAAUAUUUUUUAUUAAAACUGUAGUUUUAAUAAUAAUAAUAAUAAUGCUAAAUAAUAAUAAUUUAGUGGUUAAAUAAACUUAAUUUAUAAUAAUAAAAGUAAUUUGGUUGUUUUGUAAUUAUAUUAUUUUAUAAUUUUUAAUGAUUGGUGAAUUUUAUAAAUAUAAUAUGAUCAACAUUAGAACGACUAUAUCUAUAUAUAAAAAAAUCAUAAAAGGUGAUAUUGGAUACUUAUUACUCAAUAAUUUUCCAAUUUUGAUAGAAUUAUUAAAAAAAAAUCAUUAAGUAGAAAUUAAUUUUAAAGAUAAAAGAUUAACUAAAUUAGAUAUUAUUUUAUGAAGUAGAAAAUUAUUAGUAUCUAAAUAGUUUUAUUAUUAAUAAAAGAAAAUUAAUAAAUAAUAACUAAUUUGAUAUAGAAAAGAUGAAAUAUUAAUAAAACAUGUGAUUUAACAUUGGAUAUUGUUUAUUUAUUAAUAUCACUCAAGAAUUGCAUAUUAAAAGCAAUCCACGCGAACAGUAUAUAAUCUCAAAUUUGCUGAAAAAUCAUCUUAAUGUUCGCUAUUUGAAACAAAAUUCCUUAACCCUUGUUUGCUUUCAUGGAUGUACUGUUUAAGAGGAAGGAUGUGAAUGAAUAUUCAUGGUUUGGAUCAAGGGAUGUGCAGGGGAGUGGAGGAGAGGAUAUACCUGUGAACAGUAAAUAUCUUCUCCCCUCAAAAUGAAGAGAUGUAGAAGGAAAGCCAUGUCAGCAUCCCUUAUUUCCAAAUUUACCCUCAUUUGAAUGUAUCACAAUGCUUCAUUGGAAUGUAUUAGUAUUUUAAAAAAUUUAUUGUACAAUGUUUAAAAAAUAUAUAUAAUAUUUAAAAUGAAGAAACAAAUCAUAAUAAAUUUUAAGGAAGUUUUAAGUUUGUUUAUUAUUUUAUAAAAUAUUAUAAAUCAGUGUAAAAAAAUAUAGUUAAAUAAAAUAUUUCAUUUAUAUAUUAGUUAUUAGAGUAGAUCAAGUGAUACCUAUUUUUCAAGUUCUAAUAAGAUAUUUUAUUAAAUGUGGUUGAAUUUAGUUUUUUUAAGAAAAAAUAUACUAUAUCUAAUUAAAAUUGAAAAUAUUACCUGGUUGGAUCAUGGUCAUCNNNNNNNNNNNNNNNNNNNNNNNNNNNNNNNNNNNNNNNNNNNNNNNNNNNNNNNNNNNNNNNNNNNNNNNNNNNNNNNNNNNNNNNNNNNNNNNNNNNNNNNNNNNNNNNNNNNNNNNNNNNNNNNNNNNNNNNNNNNNNNNNNNNNNNNNNNNNNNNNNNNNNNNNNNNNNNNNNNNNNNNNNNNNNNNNNNNNNNNNNNNNNNNNNNNNNNNNNNNNNNNNNNNNNNNNNNNNNNNNNNNNNNNNNNNNNNNNNNNNNNNNNNNNNNNNNNNNNNNNNNNNNNNNNNNNNNNNNNNNNNNNNNNNNNNNNNNNNNNNNNNNNNNNNNNNNNNNNNNNNNNNNNNNNNNNNNNNNNNNNNNNNNNNNNNNNNNNNNNNNNNNNNNNNNNNNNNNNNNNNNNNNNNNNNNNNNNNNNNNNNNNNNNNNNNNNNNNNNNNNNNNNNNNNNNNNNNNNNNNNNNNNNNNNNNNNNNNNNNNNNNNNNNNNNNNNNNNNNNUUAUGUUUAUAUUAAUAUAUUUCUAUAUAUAGUUAUUAUGUUUAUGAGUUAUAAUUUAUUUUAUUAUAAUUUUUUAUGAAAUUUUUUUCUAUUGUUAAUUACGUUAUAUUUUUGUUGUUGUAGUAUUUUUUAUUUUUCAUUUCUAGAGGGUUUUUAAUAUUAAAAAAUAAUAUCUUUUUAUUUAUAUAAGAUUUGAUUUAUUUUUCAAUUUUAUUACUUGAAGUUUUUUUUAUUUAAUUUGUUGAAUACAUAUUUUUUUUAAUUAUAGUUUUUAUAUUAUACAUAUUUACAUUUAACAUAUAUUUUUUUAAUUAUAAUUUUUAAAUUUACGAAAUAUGUGAAAGUUUUUCAUUUUUAAACAAAAACAACUCAUUUUAUUAUUAAUUUUUUUAAUAGGCAAGGGUUAAUCUGUAAAGUAAUAAUUCACACCUUUAAAAAAAAUUAAAAUUUCAUCAUAACCAUCACAUCACUCACAAACUCCCAUAAACUUUCCUCACACAUCCACCCUAACAUACAUCAAUCCAAACACCCUCACUUUCUUCACACUUUCUUCACACAUCCUCACACAUCCACUCCCUCGAAUCCUCACACAUCUCCUCCUCAAUCCAAACAGAGCCUAAAAGUACCGAGAUUUAAAAUCAUUACAAAUGUCUUCAACUUUCUCGAUUCAUAAAAGACUAAGCCGGAUUGGUGCGAAACCAAGUGGACAAUCCAAGACACUAUUAUAUUUUUGCAGCGUCUCUAGGCAGAAUACGCAGGUUCACUUUUAAUAGGUUCUGUACCGGUACUAGGCGAGGCUGGGACCCACCUGCCUGCCCGACUCCCAGUCAAGCCUGACCGAGAGACUGAUAAGUCAAUAUCUUCGGAAAUCUGGCCGAACGACCGGCAGACCAAGAAUAUCUUCAGAAAUCUGGCCAAACGACCGGCUGACCGAGAGUAUCUUCAGAAAUCUGGCCAAACGACCGGCAGACCGAGACCUUUGUAUACUUGGCCGAUUGACGAAUGGUCGACACCUUUGUAUACUUGGCCGAUUGACGAAUGGCCGACACCUUUGUAUACUUGGCCGACUGACGAGUGGCCGAAACCUUUGGAGACUUAACUGAGAUGGUCGAAGACCACACUUAUUUGGCCGAUGGCCUAUCCUCACCAUGAGAUUGUGGCCGACGGCCGAACCCUAUUACGAUUAACGCUCAAACGGAGAUCAGUAAAGCUAAUCCAUCAUCAAGAAUUAGGUAAUGCAACCCUAAGCGGUAUCCACCUCGAUAAACGGGCCCAACAAGGUAGGCCCAUUAGAAUAAUAUAAAUAGCACGCAUUCCAAGGAGUAAGGUAUGUCAUUAUUACUGUUCACCUACCUGAGAGCUAACCGCCCGCUUUACUGACUUGAGCGUCGGAGUGCCUUCGCAGGUACCCCCACCAUCUGGUGUUCACCCGACGACCGAGUUCCGAGUGCCGAAGGGUAAGCAGAAGAAAGAGAAGGAUCCCAGUUUAUCACCCAGACACCUGCCCGACCGAAGGAAGGAGAAGAAGACUUCAACAGUUCUCUAGGUCCCAUCUCCCUAGCAGGAACAGGUUCAGUUAUGCUUUCAUCAACGAAUUCAAGCUUGUUUUUAGGUUAAGGGCAAUGACUAUUGAUCUGAUCUAAGAAUAAUAAUUUUUUCCAUCAAGAACAGAAGAAAUAAGGCAAGUGACCAGAUUUUCAGUGGGAUGAACUAGCAGCUUGGAACAGAAGGUGUUUGUUGAAAUUCCUAUGCCAUAAGAACAAAAAGAAAACAACAAGAAAGAACAAGAUAAACGAAAGGAGAACAAGAAAAAUAAGCAGAGUAAAUGCGCAGCAGAUGAUACCAUGAAAAAUGGAAAGCAUGGACAACACAGAAGAAUUAAAUCUGAUAUCUCACGCAAAGAACAGAGAAGAAGAAUGCAAGAUAAGAAAACAGACUAAUAGUCAUGAACAAAGAGGAACCAAGGUAUGAAAAGAGAAAAACAUUAUUGAUCAGAAAACUCUCACAUACAACUGUCACAUAUAAACACUGAAAAUAGAAGGAAAACAACUGUCAACUACCUGUAACAGCUAUCAGUUAUUAGGCAAAUUCUUCCUGCACCCAAUAUUUUCCAACGUGCACCAACACCUAAAAUACCUUUUAUUUCAAAUAUGAAAAUCCAAAAUUGAAAAUAAUAUAUUUCGGAAAAGUAAAUUCAGAAGAGUUUUCUAUGUUCCAGAAAUAAAAAUCCGGAAAAAAAAAAUCAAAAGCUCAUUCCGAAUAAGAAAAUCCACAAUGUAAAAAAUAAAUGACAUUUUCAUUUUUUCACUGGAACUGGGUGCAGUAAUAUGUUGCAGGAAGCAAUUUCCAAAACCUCAAUGCUGUUGAUAGUGAGCCUUGCUAUGAGAACCAUAAUUUCAUGAUGAAGUCUGUUUGUAACGUAGUUGGGCCUCAUGUCAUUUAAUUGGAGGCAAAUUCUUCCUGCACCAUAUCAAUUUUAACCUCCACUAUAUCAUUUUUUUAAAAUUUCCAAAACUACCCUCCUGCACCAUAUCAAUUUUAACCUUUACCAUAUGAAUUUUUUAAAUUUCCAAAACUACCCUUAUUCCAAAUUAAAAAAUCCAAAAUAAUAAUUAUAAUUGAGAAAUAAAAAAAUACAUGCUGGAAAAAAAAUUCUGAACACAAAACUAAAAAUACAUUCUGGAUAAAAAAAUUUCAAAAUUUAAAAAUAUGUUCCAAAAAUUGAAAUCCAAAAUAUUUCAGAUAAAAAUUUCAAAAAUAAUUUUUCCCAUUUUUAUGUAAGGUUAUUUUCGUUAUUUAGGAAGGAUAUUUUUGUCAUUUUCUAGAGUUGAUUGGGUGCAUGUUGAAAUUGAUAUGGAUCAUUAUGAGGCCCAACAAGGAGCCCAACGAUUAAGUAGCAGGCACAUCAAGAAACGAUUAUCAGAUGAAGCCUUUUUAAAUAUUUGAAUUUUCACGUAAAAUAAAAGGAUCCUGGACCAAUUAAUCAAAUUUAUUCUUUCAAUUAUUUCACUCUUGCAUUUAACAUUUUUCUUACAAUCUAUUUUAUCAUUAUCAUUAAGAAUACUUUAGUAUGGAAACAUCAAUAGCUCAACUGCAAAAAGGUUUGUGGAGUAGACUAAAAACCUAGGUGAGGGACAAAAUUUCUUCCUUAAGCUAAUCGCUUGAAGAGGAAAUUAAUUGUUGGCAUGGUUAUCCAGUUGCAAAUUUCACACAAACAAAAACAUAUGGUUGGUUUUCAAAAUUUUACUUAACUUCUAUUUAGAUAAAAGAAAAAGAAAACAAAAUUCUCUAUAAAUUCAAAACUUAACUUAUUCAUAUUUUAUUAUAAAUAAUAUAUCGUAUGAACUUUUCUAAAAGAUUUUUAUAACUCAUGUAUUCGCUAAUUUUAAUUUAUAAACAACUUAUUUUUUUUCUCUUACAAAUAUUUAUGGAAAAAUUAUCUAGACCAAUACUUAACUUAAAUUAUUAAUUAAAUGAUUUAUUUAGAUAAGCCAAUUCAAAUCAGUAAACAAAACACACAUUUAUCAUUAGUUAAUUCAUUCUAAAUAGUAAAAAUUAAUGUUAAUUAGUGACUAACGUCAAUAAGACAUAUAAAAAAAUUUAAAAUUAUAGAGGUUUUUUCCCUCAUCACUAAUUUUAAAUUGAUUUUUAAAUAAGGUAGUUUAGUAUCAAUCAAGUUCACAUAAUAUUUUAUUUUAUUUUAAAUAAGGUACUUCUAUACAUAAUUAUUAAUGUUCUCAUCCAAUUUUUUUUAAAAAAAUAUUAUCUAUACUUAUAUUCUAUCUCAAUAGCCAAAUUCCACAUUAAAAUUGGAUGAACCGUGAAUGACAUAUAGAUUUAUCAUUCUAAUUAUCACAAAUAAUAUAAUUGGAAAAUCAUAUGCUAAAAAUUUAAUGAAAUUCAUGCACACAUAUAAAUAAUAAAUUGAUGAAUUAUUUAGACUUUGAAAUUUUUUUUCAUGUAACAAGAAAAUCAUUGAGAGAAAAAAAAAAAAAGCAAAGACUUGCUAAGAAGAGUUGGAUAAUUUAUUAGGAGCUAGCAUGGUUGUAUGGCCUGAUGGGAAUGCGUCCCUACUUCUAAUCUUGUGGUUUCUUUCAACUUCAACAUUGUAUAGUACCUUAUUAUGAGUUGUGUGAACGCUAGACGACAACAUAUAGAAAGGACCAUGAACAUUCAACUAGCUAGGAAAAAGGCAAUGGCGAAGACUAGCAAAGAAGACUUGAUAAAGUUAUUAUGGGAUGUGCCCUUAAGUCUUCAUCGUUCGCUUUUCUUCCAUCAGCUACAUACAGAAUACAGCAUUGUCAGCAACUACUGCCUGGUUACCGGCCACAAACGUCUCUACUUCAUAAACAAGAUAAUUCUGCGGCUUCAUAUGCCCAUUCACUUGUUCAAAUAUAAACUACUAAGUAUUUUAUCUAUUCAGAACAUUUUUUUUUUUAAAUUUAGGUAAAUUCACGAUCUGAAUUAAAAUACUUCAAAAAGUAAAUAUAUAUAACUUAAGAUACUUAAUAUUUUGAUUUUGAAUUUACAAAAAAAAAUCAAUAAAAACAUUAUUCUAAAUCAUAAUCAAAGAUACGAUGUUCAUAAUAAUUUUAAUUUUAAUUUUUUUUAUAUAACUUACAUUCAAUAUGAAUAUUUCUAUUUACAAAUAUAUACAUGGUUGUAAAUAUGAGAUAAAUAAACACAAUAUCAAAUGUUAAGCAGUUGUUUUUUUCAUGCGUUUUUUCUUAUUAAUAAAAAGUUUUGGUAAUGUCGCUUGUGAAAGUAUUUUCCGUGGGAUUUUGGGAGAGUUUAUUAGAGUUUUUUCUGUGUUUCUCAACGUUCAGACUACUUUGGUUGUUGAAUUUUAUGGAGUUAUAUAUGCUUUGGAGGAAGUUCAAAAGUUGAUAUUACUAAUGUUUGACUGGAAUGUGAUUCUGUCUUGGUUUGUGUUGCGUUACUACUAGGACAAAUGUUCAUUGGAUACUUCGUAAUCGAUGUAAUACUUAUCUUAAUUACAGUGGAAAAAUCAUAUUUAAGGUUACUCAUAUUUUUCGUGAAGGGAAUGCAUGUGCUGAUAAAUUGGCUAAUUUAGGAUUUAUUCAUAGAGAAUUCUUUCAUUGCUAUAAUAGACUUUCAUCUAGUAUGUUCUUAUAAAAUUCUUUAUUAAUAUGUAUAAUCUAUCUAUGUAUCGUUUUUGUUAACAUAUAAGUUUUGGUAUAGUCUUCCAUAUUUUUGUAUUUUUUUAUAUAUUUUUUUAACAAUAUUUUUUUCAUGUGAUGACAAAUGAUUAUUAUUACUUGAUAUGUCAGGCUAACUGAAAUGUCAAGUAGAUGAUACUUAAGAUAAAACUUUUUUUAUAUAAAAAAAAAACUUUGGUCAUAUUUUAUUUGGUUUAAAUGGGAUGCUAAUAAAAUGUUCAAGCACAUUUAAAGUGUGCGGGCCAUAAGCCUAUUCAAGUUAAACCAAUAUUCUAAUAAAAUCAAACCAUGAAUAUAAAACAGUUAAAAAUUCAAAUUAUCACAGUGAACAAAACAAAGUUUGACCGAUCACUUAUUUCCAGUGGAAAUAUAUAUAUUUUUUCAAUACAGAAAAAAUCACAAUACACAACUUUAUCAUCAAUAAGUAAAACGUGCAGUGAAAAAAUAAAUAAAACUUCAUAAUCUUAAUAUAAAAUUAAAAUAAAUUCCUUUUCAUACCUAUAAUAUAUAAAUAUAAUAAAUUAAAAAUUCCUAAUUUCACAACUAAUAAAAUUGUGAGAAAACAUCAUUUCAAUAAAAUCAUAUAAUUUUAAAACACUGUUCUAAUACCAUAUAUAAAAUUAUAAUAGUUUUUUUAAUAACUAUAUAAUAUAAAAAAUCAAGACAACAUUUUAAAAUUUACAUAAUUUAUAUAUAUAUAUUAAAUAACACAGUGUAUAUUUUUUUAUAAUAUAUUAUUUUUAAGUGUUCUGUGCUGAUAUUUUUUUUAUCUUUUUAAGUUUAAAAGAGACUAAAAAUAACUAGUUACCAAAUAAUUAAAUUAAUAACUAAAUUAAAGACUAUUUUAAAAAAUUAUUAAUUUUUAAAUUGAUAUUUAAUUAAUUAUGUUUUAAUUACCUAUUAUUUAGAUUCUAAAUUUAAUUAUAUAAAAUAAUUUAAUUAUCUUAAAUAAAAAAUAAUAAUUCUUGUUAAAUAAAACAACGGGAAAUAUAAAAUAAUAUGUGUUUAAAAAUAAAUUAAAAUUUAAAAAGUCGCAUCAAGAAAAGUUAUUGAAAAAUGUAAAAUUUGAUAUCUUAUAAUUUAAAAAAAUGAGCAGAUAGUUGUUGUUGAUAGUGAUAAAAUAAUAGAGCCACUGCCGACACUACUAGAGAGUGGAAAUUUGAGAGUGGCUUGCAUUGAGUGUGGAUUCUUGUGAGAUAAGAUUGUGUAGCAGAGAGAAGUCUGAUGUGUACUCGUUUGGGGUUGUGCUGUUGGAGGUAUUGUGUGGGAGGCAGCCUUUGCUCCGUAUGGUGGAGAAGCAACAGGUGUCUCUGUUGAUUGGGCAAAACAUCGAUAUCAGAAGGGGUCUUUGGGUGAGAUUGUUGAUCCAGCACUGAAGGGCCAGAUAACACAGCAGUGUUUGCACAAAUUUGGAGAGGUCGCCUUGACCUGUUUGCUCGAGGAUGGGACUCAACGGCCUUCCAUGAACGACAUUGUUGGAAUGCUUGAGUUUGUUCUGCAGCUUCAGGAGAGCGCUAAUAAUGGAGUGAUAAAGGACACCUGUGGGGGUUACGAAAAUAGUGAGGACAUGUUUAGCAGUAGUCAUAGUAGUGUACAACUUUCAGAUUAUAGUGAUAGCACUAGAUUGAACACCACUACAGAUGAUAGCUAUGGGAGUAAGCAAUCUGACAGGCUGCUCCCUGAGAAUGUUUUCUCUCAGAUUGGGGAUCCAAAGGGACGAUAAGGUACGCCAAUUACACAAGGUGGGAGCAGUACACAAAUUCAAGCUGAGUUUGGUAUUUAGGCUAAUCGAUGCAAAUAUUAGAUGAAUCUUAUGUCGAGAUAUGAAUCUAAAAAUCUGGAAGUGGUUUUAUUAAAAUGGCUUAUAAAAUUUUGAGAAUAAUAAAUGUAAUUAAGUAUUGUUGUACUGGUAGGCUAAAACCGAGAGGUUCAUGCCGAGAACUACAUAGUAAAACAACUAAGAGAUGUUAGGUUAAAACCGAGAGGUUUAGACCGAAAGCGAAGAAGACAAAAGAAUAAAACAAAAAUAUAAAUAUUAUAAGAGCCCAAUUAGAUAAAAACUAGCAAGAGGGGUGCACAAAUAAUAAAAAAGGUGCAGAAAGAAAGCCUAAGAGUAAAGGGGAAAACCCAUUAAAGAAACCCUAUAAAUAGGAGUUCAGAGAUAGAAAGAGGUAAGAGUGAUUUUAUCUGAUGAAUAUUAAACCUUUUCUGACUUUGGCAUCGGAGCGACUUGCAGGUACCCCCCACCUGUUGUGAGGAGAAGCCGAGAGCACCAGCCGAAAGCACCAGCCGAGAGCACCAGCCGAGAGGAGAAGCCGAGAGCACCAGCCGAAAGCACCAGCCGAGAGGAGAAGCCAAGAGUUCCCAUCAAGGAGAGAAAUCAAGUACCCAGCCCAAGAUAGUAUUCAACCCAAGAUAGUAUUCAGUCCAAGAUUGAAGGAUUAGUCUUGUUAACCUAUUUCGAGUGUUCUUGGUCCCUGUUGUAAGAACAUUUUGGCGCCCACCGUGGGGCCGAGGGUCAAUUGAGAAGGGUUAAAGACAAGAUGAGUCAAGGAGGAGAACAAGGUGGAGAUCGGGAAGACAAUGUUAACAUGCCAAUGGCAAUGUUGGUCCAAUUACAAAAAGAAUUCGAGAUGUUAAAAAAGAAUAAUGAAGAAGAAUUGAGUAUGUUGAGAGCCGAAAACGCACACAUGAGGAGAAAGUUACAAGAGGAAACGGUUUUGAAUUCAUCUUUCGAAACUGUUCAACCUGGGAUACAAGUGAAUGAAAGGCUAUAUCACAACGAAAGUUCCCAAACCAGAAGAAGAUGGCUUGAAAACUCUAGGGUUUGUGCAGGGACAUCUUCUAGAAAACAUCUGUUUUAUGAUGUUAUAAUCGAUACUCCGUUGCCUGACAAUUGGAAGAACUUGACCAUUGACAAAUAUGAUGGGAGUACGGACCCUGAUGAGCAUAUUGCAAUAUAUACUACUCAAAUCAGCUUGUAUACAUGGAAUGAUGCUGUUAUGUGCAGAGUAUUUCCUACAACUCUGAAAGGGGCAGCAUUGAGUUGGUUUACACGCCUCCCACCUUUGAGUAUAGAUUGUUUUGAUACGUUGAUAGAAAAGUUCGGCGCUCAAUUUGCAACUAGUCGUCCUCAUCAUUUAACGUCAAUCGCCUUAGUGAACAUAAGACAAGAGAAAGGAGAGUCCUUAAGAAUGUUCAUGGAACGUUUUGGAAAGGUUGCUUUGGGAAUCCGAAAUCUUAGCCCAGAGGUCACCAUGCAUCAUAUGAUAACGGCAUUAAAACCGAGACCGUUUGCCGAUAGUCUUUGCAAGAAACCUGCGAUCAAUUUGGAUGAACUAAGGCAACGAGCAUCAAAAUUUAUGCAAAUGGAAGAAUUAAGGGAGUUUCGAAACCAAGUAAGGGUUGAUGGAGGUGAGAAGAGGGUGAUAGAAAGAGAACACCCACCUGCUGCAAGAGGAGCCCGAGAAGAAUUCAGAAGCCGAAAAUUCCAACAAUACACACCUUUAAAUGCAAACAGAGCGAGAGUUUUACAAGAAGCUAUGGCAGCAGAAAUAAUACCACCACCAAGAAAAGCACGAACACCAGGAAGAGCAGAUCAUACCAAGCAUUGCGAGUAUCACAAAAAUCAUGGCCAUCAUACAGAAGAAUGCAUCGGGUUGAAGGAUAGAAUAGAAGAAUUAAUUCAAGCUGGGCAGUUGAAACGCUUCGUCCAAGGAGGAAAUGCGAGAAUAAGGUUAAGUCCUGAGAGAGGAUCGAGAGGGGGAGAAGUGGGCCAGAGAAGAGUGGAAAGAUUUGAAAGAAGAGAUGAAAAAAGAGUUGAAAAAAGAAAUGAUAGAAGAGAUGGGAGGCCAGAAAGAAGAAGUGAUAGGGAUCAUCAAAACACUCAAUCAGUAAGGCGGAGUAGGGAACGAAGUCUGGGUAGGCCGGUCAGAGGAUUUAUAAACACAAUUUCAGGAGGUUUUUCAGGAAAGGAAUCCUCAUCAGCAAGAAAACAACAUUGGAGAAGUAUCAGAACCAUUAAUCAUAUUUUCAAAAGAAGAACCUUGCCACCAAUGCUUUUCACAGAUGAAUAUUUUCAAGAGAUUGAUCCCGAUCACGACGAUCCUAUGGUGAUAACGGUAGAAAUAGCCGAAUACGCCGUUAUGAAAACCUUAGUUGAUCAGGGGAGUUCAGUUGAUAUUUUGUUUUGGGAUACUUUCAAAAGAUUACAUCUAAGAGAAGAAGAUAUUGUACCUUUCCGAGAACAGAUCAUUGGCUUUUCGGGAGAAAGAGUUAAUACUAAGGGGUACAUUGAUUUGAUGACCACAUUUGGAAGAGGUAAUAAAACUAAAAAGAUCAAAAUCAGAUAUUUGGUGGUGGAUGCUACUACAUCGUAUAAUGUGUUAUUAGGACGAUCCUCUUUGAAUAAACUGGGAGAGCAAUAGUUUCAACACCGCAUUUGGCUAUGAAGUUCCCAACAGAAAAGGGUGAGAUAGCAACGGUCUAUGUCAAUCAAAAAGAUGCUCGGGAAUGUUAUGCAGCAGGUUUAAAGAUGAAUUUAAGAGCAAACCAUGAUACUGAAAGAAUGGUGGCAAUGGCCAAUUUCGACCCAAGAAUAAAUGACGAAAGGAUAGAACCAAAAGAAGAGACCACAACUGUGGUAUUGGGUCAAGACGAGAAGCAAAGCACUUAUGUAAGUGGAAGUUUGCCCAAAGAAUUGUUGAGUAAAUUCAUCACAGUGUUACGUAACAACAAAGAUUUGUUUGCUUGGAAACCAUCCGAUAUACCUGGGAUUGAUCCGAAAGUAGUUUGUCAUAAAUUGUCUGUAUGUCGAGAAGCAAGACCGGUGUCUCAAAAAAGAAGAAAGUUGGGAGAAGAAAGACGAAAAGCAGCAAUGGAAGAAACUGAGAAGUUAAUGCAAGUUGGUUUCAUAAAAGAGGCUCAAUACACAACAUGGUUAUCCAAUGUAGUGCUUGUUAAAAAACCAAAUGGAAAGUAGAGAAUGUGUACAGACUAUACAGACUUAAACAAAGUUUGUCCGAAAGAUACAUACCCAUUACCCAACAUAGACCGAUUGGUGGAUGGGGCGUCUGGACAAGAGAUGAUGAGUUUUCUUGAUGCCUAUUCGGGGUAUAAUCAAAUACAAAUGUAUGAGCCAGAUGUUCCAAAAACGGCUUUCACCACAGAUACCGCGAAUUAUUGUUAUAAAGUCAUGCCUUUUGGUUUGAAGAAUGCUGGAGCAACAUAUCAAAGGUUGAUGGACAAGGUGUUCAAGGAUCAGAUCGGAAAGAACAUGGAGGUAUAUGUUGAUGAUAUGGUUGUGAAAUCAGGGGAGAUAGAGAAACACCUGGAAGACCUUGAGGAGGUGUUUGCACAGAUAAGAAAAUACAAAAUUCGGCUUAAUCCAGAAAAAUGCGUUUUUGGGGUGAGAGGUGGAAAAUUUCUGGGUUUCAUGUUGACAAACAGAGGCAUUGAAGCAAACCCUGACAAGUGCGAAGCAAUAAUGAAGAUGGGAAGUCCAAAGAAUUUGAAGGAGGUACAAAGACUAGUGGGAAAACUUAACUCAUUAUCAAGAUUUCUACCAAUUCUGGCCGAAAAAACCAAACCAAUAGUAAACUUGCUAAAAAAAUCCGAAACCUUUGAGUGGGAUGAGCGAUGUGAGCAAGCCUUUUCUCAAAUCAAAACUAUAGUGGCCGAACCACCAAUCUUGGUUAAACCAGUGUUAACCCAACCUAUCAUAGUCUACCUAGCAACCUCAACUGAAGCCAUAGGAGCGGCCUUGAUACAAGAAACCCCAGAGCAAAAACCAAUAUAUUUUGUGAGUAGAUCCCUACAGAGUGCCGAAACCAGAUAUCCCAAGAUUGAAAAAGUUGCCUUAACCCUGGUGUAUGCUGCGAGACGUCUUCGACCAUAUUUUCAGAAUUAUUAGAUAAUUGUGAGAACAGAUUAUCCAAUAUCCAAAAUUUUGAUAAAACCAGAACUUGCAGGUAGGAUGGUGACAUGGUCGAUGGAGCUAUCAGAAUAUGGAAUCAAGUAUGAGCCAAGAGGACCUAUCAAAGCCCAAUCCCUUGCGGAUUUUAUUAUUCAAAUGCUGACAACAACACAGCAGGAGCAAUGGACAUUGUAUGUAGAUGGCGCAUCAAGCAAAAGAGGCAGCGGAGCAGGAAUAGUGCUUGAAGGACCAGAUAACUUCCAAGUGGAGAUGGCGUUAAGAUUUGAGUUCAGAACAUCCAACAACCAAGCUGAAUAUGAAGCUCUUGUUGCAGGGUUACUAUUAGCCAGAGACAUGGGAGUUGAAAAUGUCAUUUGCAAAAGUGACUCUCAACUUUCGGUGGGACAGGUGCAGGGACAGUAUCAGAUUUGGGAAUCAAGUCAACAAGCACGUCAGUUGAGCAUCCACAAACAAAUGGACAAGCAGAAGCCGCAAACAAGGUUAUUCUCGGACAGUUAAAGAAGCGGUUAGGAAGUGCUAAAGGUCUAUGGGCUGAGAAGUUGCCAGAAAUAUUAUGGGCAUACAGGUGCACACCACAAACAUCAACAUGAGAAACACCAUUCAAUCUCACGUAUGGAACAGAUGCAAUGUUACCAGUAGAAGUUACUGAACCAACACUACGAAGGCAAAUGGAAGAUUGGAAUAUCAACAAUGAAUGCUUAAGAACUGACCUUGAUCUUAUUGAAGAACUCAGAGAACGAGCAAAAAUAAAGGAAGCAGCAGUAAAAAGAAGGGCAAUGAAGAGGUUUAAUGCAAAAGUAAAGUUCAGGGAUUUUAAGGAAGGGGAUUUGGUCUGGAGAAUGCGCACUGAUGCUCGGAAAGAUCCACGACAUGGAAAGUUGGCAUCCAACUGGGAAGGACCAUUCAGGAUAAUGGAAAACUUACACAACAGAGCUUAUAGAUUAGAAACUCUAGAAGAAAAAGUGAUACCAAAUACAUGGAAUGCGAGUCAUUUAAAGUUCUAUUUUAGUUGAAACAGAAGAUGUAAGCCAAAAACUUUUGUAUGCAUACUUAUCAUCUAAUCAAGAAGAAUUAUCAAGUAACAUCAUCUUAUUAGACUUUCAUUCUUUUCUUUUCGGUCUUGGAUGUUUUCACUACAAGUGAAAUCCCUCCCGAAACAAUACUUACUACUUUUCGGUCUUGGAUGCUUUUCACUUCAGGUGAAAUCCCUCCCGACAAAAUUAUUGACAUAAUUCUUUUCGGUCCUGGAUGCUUUCACUCCAGGUGAAAUCCCUCCCGAAAAAAACGGUCUUUUCGAUUCUUUCUUCAAUUAGCUCACAAGACAUCUUCAAGCAAUGGAUAUAAAACCGAGAGAAUCACAGCAUCUAAUUCAAACCUCGGCAACUAAAGGCAAGAGUUAGAUCUAUCCAAAAUAAAAUAAAGGUCAAGCCCCAAGCUGGUCCACGUUUUUGGUUAAUCUCAUAACAAAAUUGCAGAGUAGGAAAAUUCUCCACUUUGCACUAAAAAAUAAAAGCCGAAAAGUAGUUUUUUGGUUUUUACAUAAUAAAAACCGAAAAAUAGUUACGGUUUUCAAGUAAUAAAAACCAACAGAUACACAUGUUACUUUAAAAGUGGUACAAACCGAAAGGUAGCAAUUAUUCCAAGGCAAUAAAAACCGAAAGAUAAACUUAUUGCUUGAAGGUAAUAAAAACCGAAUAGUAAUCUUGUUACAUUUGUAAUUUAACAUUUAAAGCAUUUAACUAAAAUAACCGAAAGCACAAUCCCAAUAACGUUCGACCGAAAGGUUUAUCAUACAACCGAAAGGACAAAACCGAGAGGUUCUGAUAACAUUCAGUACAGAGCCAAAAGUAAGAGUCAACAUAAUAUCUAGUGAAUAACAAACAAUAACUCAAGGGGAAUAAUAUUCUUUAAUUUCUGAUAAGAUUCCAAGGGGAGAUUACAAAAAGGACGCAAACUUCCAUAUAUAAGAUCAACAUUUCAAAAUCAAAUCAGCCUUGUCAUGUAAACCGAGAAACUAUAAACAAAACAUUAACAUCUAUAUCCUCAUAAUUUUCGAUAUUGAUAUCUUCGGCAUCAUUAUCCGGAAUCUCAUUAACAGGAACUAAUUCACCAUUAUAAAAAUCCUUCUUAACAUCAAAAUUCCCUUCAUCAAUAGGAAUCUUGUAAAAAUAUUUUGCUUGUUGAAGAGCCUUCUCAAAACCCAAUUUAUGUUGUUCAAAGAUAAAGCUUUCGGCUUAAAAAACGUUAGUCCUCAGCUGAUUUAUCUCCUCAUCCAUAACUUUGAUGGUGUUUUUGUCGGAAUCAUUCACAGAAGAUAAUGCCAAUACCUUUUCGUUCAAGACUUGAUUUUCUUUGCACAGUCGAACAUUCUCUUCGCUAGAUUUCAAGUUCUCAUUCUCCAAAUCAAAAAUUUUCUUCCCAAGACCUUCUAUUUCGAUUUCUCGUUCUUUUUUCUGCUUUUUAAUCUCUUUUAACUGCACAGAUAAAGAGCUCAUUUUUUCUUUAUACUCAGCAAAAUCAUUCUUCAAUUUGUCAAACUCAGAUAAAGCCACACAGUUUCCAUUCUUCUCCUUCAUCAUCUUUCCAAUCAAAAGAUUUCUGCUUGACAACUCAAUAACAGAAUCGGCCAAAGAAGCAGCAUCCAUAGUCUUCAGCAUGUUGUAAGACGAUUCACCAAAAGACGUCUGAACAAACUUCGCAUAUUUAGUUGUAGCACUAAAUAUCGUCUCCGAGAGAGGUUCGGAAGAAACAUUUUCACCAUGGCGAUGGCGCCGAGAAGACGAAUGCGACCUCUUGCUAUUUCUAUCACGUUUUUUCGAUUUCUUUGAAGGACCAGCAGCCUCAACAUUACUUACCGGUUCAACCACUUCAACAUUCACAACAGGUUCCACGACUUCUUCCACCACAGGAUUCACCACACUUUCACGACGGGGAGUUACAUCACCCACCUUGUUCAGCAAUUUCGAAAAAUACGAUCGAGCUUUCGGAUUAGUGCUUGCCAUCAAAGCUGAAAAUCAAUAAAACAUUUAGCUAAGUUAAAAAACUCAUCCUAUAAAGCGCGAAAAUGUGGAACAACCACGUACCAAUCAGAUCUUCUCGAGGAUUUGGUGAAGUGUACAGUUGUAGCAAGGCGCGAGUGGGAACCUGGUACGAGAGCCGACUAAAAACUUCGAUAACAUGACGAUCGGCCGCACCCAUUAAAUGAAACGAGAUUGAGUUAAACUUCACAGGAUCUUUUGUCCAGUACAGAGGAAACCUUGGAGAAUCUCCAUAAAAAAAAUACUCUCUUCCUACAGGCUCUAUUAGAAUUUUAAAAAAACUCCCCUUAAAAUCUUUGUAUGAUGACGUAAAAGGUUUAAGGAAACAAACAUUGGAUUUACUAAUAAGGGAUAACCACCCUGGCCGCUUCCCAGGCCGAGAGCUAUAAUAGUACAAGAAGGAAGCAGGACUGGGAGAAAGCGAUAAUAAUUUACACAAAAUGCUAAAUGCUUGCAUCGCAGCCCAACCAUUCGGAUGGAGCUGAGUAGGCGCAACAUUAAGAAAGUUAAGAACGCCUAUUUGAAAGUUGUUCAAAGGCAACCGAAUAUGAAGAUCUCUAAAAAAGCAAGCAUAAAAAUAAAAAAAUUCAUAACUAUCACCCUCUCGGCCAUGACAAACAUUAUCGGCAUCUCCAACACGCCGAAAAGAAAUAAUAUCAUUUUCAAUAUCAGAAUAAUAAAUCUGAGAAUGGGAAAGGAAACUACGAAGUUCGAUAGCAGAACGGUAUUUCGACAAAUACUCUCGGACUUUAGGAUUAACCCAUUGGUAACCUGGACGAAGAUUUUUCUGAGGCAAUACAAUGUCGAAUUCUUGAGGAGCAUCAACAGUCGGUGCUCCAUUUGAAUCAUUCAUACAAGAAGGGGUAGCAGAUGAAGACUUCGAGUCUCGAUGAUCCUCUUCUCGCACCACUCGCACAGUUGAUUCACCACCCGCGCUUGAAAAAUCAUCAGAAGCAGAAAAACUUGAAAUAGACAUUACCUUUGCAAGAACUGAUUACAGAUUGAAAAUAAGCUUCUUUUUUCAAUACGCAACGAAACACAUAUUCGUAAAAGUUUGAAAGAAGAACCUAUUUAUAACCCAAAAAUACACCCUAGAAUUCGAAACGUUGCAAGCAAUCUGAAACCGUUCAAAAAUUUAUAAUCUAACGGUUAAGACAACAAAUUCACGUCAAAUCAACUUAACUCAGCAAGCUAAAGCACAAAAACCGAGGCAUUCAAUAUCAAAUCAAAUCAAAUGUCAAAUUUACUAUAUUUUAUUAAGACACGAAUAUUUCUUAAAACUUAAAAUAUUUCUGUCUUGGGGGGCUAGUGUACUGGUAGGCUAGAAUCGAGAGGUUCAUGCCGAGAACUACAUAGUAAAACAACUAAGAGAUGUUAGGUUAAAACCGAGAGGUUUAGACCGAAAGCGAAGAAGACAAAAGAAUAAAACAAAAAUAUAAAUAUUAUAAGAGCCCAAUUAGAUAAAAACUAGCAAGAGAGGUGCACAAAUAAUAAAAAAGGUGCAGAAAGAAAGCCCAAGAGUAAAGGGGAAAGCCCAUUAAAGAAACCCUAUAAAUAGGAGUUCAGAGAUAGAAAGAGGUAAGAGUGAUUUUAUCUGAUGAAUAUUAAACCUUUUCUGACUUUGGCAUCGGAGCGACUUGCAGGUACCCCCCACCUGUUGUGAGGAGAAGCCGAGAGCACCAGCCGAGAGCACCAGCCGAGAGCACCAGCCGAAAGCACCAGCUGAGAGGAGAAGCCAAGAGUUCCCAUCAAGGAGAGAAAUCAAGUACCCAGCCCAAGAUAGUAUUCAGCCCAAGAUUGAAGGAUUAGUCUUGUUAACCUAUUUCGAGUGUUCUUGGUCCCUGUUAUAACAACAAUUGUAAUUAUUAUUUUAUUAGAUGAUUUUUAUAUUUAUAGAUGUAUGUACUAUUAUAUAUAAAUUUGUUAUAUAAAGAAUGCUAAAAUUAUAACUUUUUAUAUAUAAAUGAAGAGUAGUUGGUUGGUGGUAAACAUUUAAUAAAAUAAAUGUUAUAUUAGUGAUUUUGGCUAUCACUAAGGUUUCUACCACAAUGGGCAUGCUCUAACUUUCCUCUUGUGUUUUAUAUAUAAACAGUUAUAUAUAGUCUCUGUUCGAGGCUAAUAAUUAUAUAAUACACUAGAAUGGAAAAGGCGAAGAGUUGGAUAAUUUAUUAGGAGCUAGCAUGGUUGUAUGGCCUGAUGAGAAUGCGUCCCUGCUUCUAAUCUUUUUCUUUCAACUUCAACAUUGUCACUUAUAGCACCAAUUAUUCAGCUAGCUAGUACCUUCUUGUGAGUUGUGUGAAUGCUAGACGACAACAUAUAGAAAGGAAAAAGUAGCCAAUGAAGGUAAGGACCAAGAACAUUGAACUAGGAAAAAAACAAUGGCAAAGACUAAUAAAGAAGACUUGAUAAAGUUAUUAUGGGAUGCGCCCAUAUAAGUCUUCAUCAUUCGUUUUUCUUCCAUGAGCUAGAGAAGGAUACAAAAUAGUGUAUUGUCAGCAACUACUGCCUGGUUACUAGCCACACACGUCUCUACUUCAUAAACAGAUAAUUCUGUCACUUCAUAUGCCCAUUCACUUGUUCAAAGAUAAACUCUACUGAGUAUUUUUUAUCUAUUCAGAACAAGAUUUUUUUUAAAUUUAGGUAAAUUCACGAUCUGAAUUAAAAUACUUAAAAAAGUAAAUAUAUAUAACUAAUUUAAGCAAAUAAAGAAAAAUAAGUGGUUCAACCUAUUCGACUUGAUGGCAGCAUAUGUAAGUAUUUGGUGGCAAGGAAUUUAUUAACGAAGAACUCAAACUUUCAUUAUUCCAAAUAUUAAGUACACAUGUAAGUAUAGUUAUUAUAACUAAUUACAUUUAACAUUCCGACCAUUUUUCUUAUGUAAAAUACCAAACUCCACCUGAACUUGAACACGGUACCUCGAUCAGCGUCCCUUCGGAUCCUUAAUCUCAGAGAACACAAGCUCUGGGAAUAACCUGUCAGAUUGCUUACUCCCGUAGGUUGCACUGUUCAGGCCACUGCUAUUACUAUAGUCGGAAACAUGCACACUACUAUGGGUACUGCUAAACAUGUUCUCAGUACCACUGUCUUCGUAUUCCCUACCACUUUCCAACACAGCAUUGACAUGGGCACUAUCCUGAAGCUGAAGCUGCAGAACAAACUCCAACACCCCAACCACGUCGUUCAUAGAAGGUCGCUGAGUCCCAUCCUCAACCAAACAGCUCAACGCAACCUCACCAAAUUUACGCAAACAAUGAGCUGCUAUCUGGCCCUUCAGUGCUGGAUCCACAAUCUCACCCAGACACCCCUUCUCAUACCGAUGCUUCGCCCAAUCCACAAGUGACACCUGUGGCUUCUCUACCAUUCGGAGCAAAGGCUGCCUCCCACACAAUACCUCCAACAGCACCACCCCAUACGAGUACACGUCCGACUUCUCCGUCAAACGCUGUCGUUUGUAAUACUCCGGAUCCAAAUACCCAACACUACCUUUCACCUGAGUGCUCACAUGGGUCAUCGAAGAACCCGUGGGCCCAAUUCGAGAUAACCCGAAGUCUGAAACCUUCGCCACCCAUUUUUCAUCCAACAAGAUGUUUGUGCUCUUCACGUCACGGUGAAUGAUCAUUCGUUUCGCACCUGUAUGCAGAUAAUGCAGUCCUCGUGCGGCGCCGAUGCAUAUCUGAAGCCUUUGAUUCCAUGAGAGCGGAGGGUUAUCGGUUCCGUAGAGAUGAUCACAGAGGGUUCCACGGUCCAUAAAAUCGUAAACGAGUAUCAUCUCGUUGCUCUCGUAGCAAUAACCGAUGAGGGAAACAAGAUGGAGAUGACGAAGUUGAGAGAGCAUUUCGAUCUCGUUCAUGAACUCGUUCAGACCUUGCUGAGAACCCGGUUUAAGCCUUUUGAUAGCGACAGGUGUUGAGCCGUCGUCGAUGUAGCCUUUGUACACGUCGCCGAAGCCUCCCACUCCAACGACGAAGAGUUUAUCGAAGUUAUUUGUGGCGGCCCUGAUUUCUGCGAUUGAGAAGUGACGGCAGAGGUUGGUUGGUAGCGAUGAUGAGCCAACCCCGCGAGAAGUUCCGUCUUUUUGGUUGGAACCCUUGUCGAUGGCAACACUAUGCUUGCGUUUGAUGACGAAGAAAACGACUAUAAAGGAGAGUAAAAUGAAAACAAAAACUGCACCAGCGACAGCGAGAAUUAGGGGUCUCCUGGUGCCACUGCUGUUCUUAUUUGGGAUUUGAUUAGGAACCUCUGAGGUUUUAGGAGAAGGGGAUGGAUUUGGUCCAGCGAGAUUACCGGAUGAGUCGUUGAUUUUGAAGAGCUCAAUUGCGUUUAUUUGUGCGUCCCAGCACAAGCUUUUAGGGUUAGGAUGCAUUUUAAGUGAAAGAUUUACCUUGUCCUGAUUGGAGGGCAUGAAAACUGUGUAGUUUCUAACCACAGGUACACCCCUUUGUUUAUCGCUCCAACUGAGGACGUCUGCCCACUCUUCAACCAACCGAUCCUGAAUGUAGAUGAAGAAGGUGAGAUCACCAAGAUUGAUAAUCUCCGGGUUAAGCUGGCAAAAGUGUAACAUUAGCAAGUAGGUGAAACCCAAAUCAACCGGAAGCUGCCAUGUGAGGUUGAACUCCUUGUUCAUAGACCCACUACGUCCCAUAUUCCUCAAGGAUCGGUACACAUCGUCUGGUGCAGUGUAGUUAGGAGCCUUAGUGAAGUUCAGCUUAAUUGCAUUGUUAAAAUGAAAAGAUUCUACACUCGGACUGGUUAAAUAAAUUUUAUCAACAUCCCAUCUCCUAAGCAUACCCGUGUCGUAUGCCGGGGGAAUAUAUCGGUCCGCAACUCUUAACCUGUACAUUGUCUCCAGAGCAAAGCUGUUUUCAAUGGGGAAUGGGUUCAUGCGGCCAGCAGGUUUGGGCAAUCCAUUGAUGUCCACGUCAGGACUGGUGUAGUAGAGAUAAGGGGGCAUUGAAACAAUCUCGAUUCCAUUGAUGAAAGCAUAGGAAUCUGUGGUGCUUGGAAUGAAGGUGAUGUUGAGCUUUUCUCCUUCUUGGAGGUUUAUGCAAUACUCUCUGAAGAUGUUGGAUUGAGUGCGGUCAUUUUGAGAAUCUGCAUGUAGGGAAGCAUUGAAAUGUUGAAGGAGGGUGUAUGGGCCUGCUUUGACUGAGAAAAAGGCUUUGGAGAGAUCAAAGUUUGGGUAUGAGGUGGAGUAGAAGAAAAGGCGAAGGAACUUAGGGCCUGGGGUGACAGGAAAUGAAUAGGUGAACAGGGAGUGAGAGAGACGAGCAUGGUCGUAAGGAGGACCCUGUGGGAUAGAUGGUAUGAGUGGAGGAAGAUCUACUGAGUUAUGGGUUGGAGAGAGGAAUUUGAUGUCUGAAGUCCAAUUCCUCGUAUCAGGGGUGGAGAAGUU
This 39063-nucleotide long non-coding RNA is filed under the name Phaseolus vulgaris (common bean). Its description in RNAcentral is "long non-coding RNA (PVUL_LNC001393)". Lineage: Eukaryota; Viridiplantae; Streptophyta; Magnoliopsida; Fabales; Fabaceae. The record is from RNAcentral.